UACGGAGGGUGCAAGCGUUAUCCGGAUUCACUGGGUUUAAAGGGUGCGUAGGUGGGCUAGUAAGUCCGUGGUGAAAUCUCUGAGCUUAACUCGGAAACUGCCGUGGAUACUAUUAGUCUUGAAUCUCGUGGAGGUAAGCGGAAUAUGUCAUGUAGCGGUGAAAUGCUUAGAUAUGACAUAGAACACCGAUAGCGAAGGCAGCUUGCUAGACGAGUAUUGACACUGAGGCACGAAAGCGUGGGGAUCAAACAGG
RNAcentral lists this ribosomal RNA (253 nucleotides) under uncultured bacterium. RNAcentral's name for it is "partial 16S ribosomal RNA". It matches the Rfam family "Bacterial small subunit ribosomal RNA", at positions 524 to 776 of the family's 1533-position model. The record is from RNAcentral.